UACAGAGGGUGCGAGCGUUAAUCGGAAUUACUGGGCGUAAAGCGCGCGUAGGCGGCUUUGCAAGUCGGGUGUGAAAUCCCCAGGCUUAACCUGGGAACUGCAUUCGAGACUGCAUUGCUAGAGUAUGGGAGAGGGAAGUGGAAUUUCAGGUGUAGCGGUGAAAUGCGUAGAUAUCUGGAGGAACACCGGUGGCGAAGGCGGCAUCCUGGACCGACAUCGACGCUGAGGCGCGAAAGCUAGGGGAGCAAACGGG
Molecule: ribosomal RNA, 253 nt
Filed under: uncultured bacterium
Lineage: Bacteria
Description: partial 16S ribosomal RNA
Rfam family: Bacterial small subunit ribosomal RNA
Source: RNAcentral